CAGUAGCCGCGGUAAUACGAAGGGGGCUAGCGUUGCUCGGAAUCACUGGGCGUAAAGGGUGCGUAGGCGGGUCUUUAAGUCAGGGGUGAAAUCCUGGAGCUCAACUCCAGAACUGCCUUUGAUACUGAAGAUCUUGAGUUCGGGAGAGGUGAGUGGAACUGCGAGUGUAGAGGUGAAAUUCGUAGAUAUUCGGAGGAACACCAGUGGCGAAGGCGGCUCACUGGUCCAUUACUGACGCUGAGGUGCGAAAGCGUGGGGAGCAAACAGGAUUAGAUACCCCUGUAGUCCCUGUCUCUUAUAC
RNAcentral lists this ribosomal RNA (301 nucleotides) under uncultured bacterium. Its description in RNAcentral is "partial 16S ribosomal RNA". It matches the Rfam family "Bacterial small subunit ribosomal RNA", at positions 509 to 807 of the family's 1533-position model. The record is from RNAcentral.